Gossypium hirsutum (cotton) is the source of this 159-nucleotide non-coding RNA. NCBI's taxonomy places the organism in Eukaryota, Viridiplantae, Streptophyta, Magnoliopsida, Malvales, Malvaceae. The record is from Rfam.
GAUAUCAAGCUAAUCUUCCCCAAGAGCUCACAUGGUGGAGAAGGUUGGCACUUCGAUGUCGGCUCUUCGCCACCUAGGGCUGUAGUAUGUUCCAAGGGUUGGGUUGUUCGCCCAUUAAAGUAGUACGUGAGCUAGGAUCAAAACAUCGUGAGACAGUUC